This 432-nucleotide ribosomal RNA is filed under the name uncultured bacterium. RNAcentral describes it as "partial 16S ribosomal RNA". It matches the Rfam family "Bacterial small subunit ribosomal RNA", at positions 29 to 506 of the family's 1533-position model. The record is from RNAcentral.
AGCGAACGCUGGCGGCAGGCUUAACACAUGCAAGUCGAGCGGGCACUUCGGUGUCAGCGGCAGACGGGUGAGUAACACGUGGGAACGUACCCUUCGGUUCGGAAUAACGCUGGGAAACUAGCGCUAAUACCGGAUACGCCCUUUUGGGGAAAGGUUUACUGCCGAAGGAUCGGCCCGCGUCUGAUUAGCUAGUUGGUGGGGUAAUGGCCUACCAAGGCGACGAUCAGUAGCUGGUCUGAGAGGAUGAUCAGCCACACUGGGACUGAGACACGGCCCAGACUCCUACGGGAGGCAGCAGUGGGGAAUAUUGGACAAUGGGCGCAAGCCUGAUCCAGCCAUGCCGCGGGAGUGAUGAAGGCCUUAGGGUUGUAAAGCUCUUUUGUCCGGGACGAUAAUGACGGUACCGGAAGAAUAAGCCCCGGCUAACUUCGU